Molecule: ribosomal RNA, 560 nt
Filed under: Streptosporangium sp. 322F10
Lineage: Bacteria; Bacillati; Actinomycetota; Actinomycetes; Streptosporangiales; Streptosporangiaceae
Also listed under: 1 other name
Description: bacterial SSU rRNA
Rfam family: Bacterial small subunit ribosomal RNA
Source: RNAcentral
GAGCGGCGAACGGGUGAGUAACACGUGAGUAACCUGCCCCUGACUCUGGGAUAAGCCCGGGAAACUGGGUCUAAUACCGGAUACGACACCUCCUCGCAUGGGGUGGGUGUGGAAAGUUUUUCGGUCAGGGAUGGACUCGCGGCCUAUCAGCUUGUUGGUGGGGUAACGGCCUACCAAGGCGACGACGGGUAGCCGGCCUGAGAGGGCGACCGGCCACACUGGGACUGAGACACGGCCCAGACUCCUACGGGAGGCAGCAGUGGGGAAUAUUGCGCAAUGGGCGAAAGCCUGACGCAGCGACGCCGCGUGGGGGAUGACGGCCUUCGGGUUGUAAACCUCUUUCAGCAGGGACGAAGUUGACGUGUACCUGCAGAAGAAGCGCCGGCUAACUACGUGCCAGCAGCCGCGGUAAUACGUAGGGCGCAAGCGUUGUCCGGAAUUAUUGGGCGUAAAGAGCUCGUAGGUGGCUUGUCACGUCGGGUGUGAAAGCUUGGGGCUUAACUCCAGGUCUGCAUUCGAUACGGGCUGGCUAGAGGUAGGUAGGGGAGAACGGAAUUCCU